UAGUGAACCAGUACCGUGAGGGAAAGGUGAAAAGAACCCCGGGAGGGGAGUGAAAAGAAUCUGAAACCGUAUGCCUACAAAAAGUCAGAGGGCGUUAAAGCCUGAUGACGUGCCUAUUGAAGAAUGAGCCGGCGAGUUAUGAACACAUGCGAGGUUAAGGAGAAGAUCCGGAGCCGAAGCGAAAGCGAGUCUUAACAGGGCGACAGUAUGUGUUUGUAGACCCGAAACCCGACGAUCUAGCCAUGAUCAGGAUGAAGUAAGGGUAAAACCUUAUGGAGGUCCGAACCGACGUUCGUUGAAACGCCCGCGGAUGAAUUGUGGCUCGUGGUGAAAUUCCAAUCGAGUCGGGUAAUAGCUGGUUCUCCCCGAAAUAGCUUUAGGGCUAGCCUUGGGACAUUGUUUAGUGGGGGUAAAGCACUGAAUAUGAGCGAGCCGCGCCAAGCGGUAUCAAUCAUAAUCAAACUCUGAAUCCCAUUAGAUGUACCCCAGGAGUCAGACUACGGGAGAUAAGUUCCGUGGUCAAGAGGGCAACAGCCCAGACCGCCGAUUAAGGUCCCUAAAUUCACGCUAAGUGUCAAAGGAUGUAGAGAUACUCAAACAGCUAGGAUGUUGGCUCAGAGGCAGCCAUCAUUUAAAGAAUGCGUAACAGCUCACUAGUCAAGUGUCUCCGCGCCGAAAAUUUACCGGGGCUAAGCGUGAUACCGAAAUCGCGGAUGAAUCCUAAAAAUUCGUGGUAGGGGAGCGUUCUGUUUGCAGUGAAGCCAUAUCGUGAGGAGUGGUGGAGCGUACAGAAGCGAGAAUGCCGGCGUAAGUAACGAUAAAGGGUGAGAAUCCCUUUCACCAAUUGACUAAGGUUUCCUGGGCAAGGUUCGUCCUCCCAGGGUUAGUCGGGACCUAAGGCGAGGCCGACAGGCGUAGUCGAUGGACAGCAGGUUGAUAUUCCUGCACCCGAGCACGCAGUGAUGCAAUGACGAAAACGGCUAUGCUCACCUCCGAUCGGAAGUGGAGGGCAGAGCGUAGGAGUCGAUUCCUUGUUAAGUACGGGAAUCAUUAAGACAAAGACGUGCGGUAUGAAAGUCGCGAGACGAGUAAGAAACAGCAGACGCCGAUUUCCAAGAAAAGUUGCUAACGUUAAACGUGUUCGGCCCGUACCGAGAACGGACACACGUGGUCAAGGAGAAUAUCCUGAGGUGAGCGAGAUAACUGUUGUUAAGGAACUCUGCAAAAUAACUUCGUAAGUUAGCAAGAAGAAGUGCUCCAGCGAUGGAGCCGCAGCGAAUCGGCCCAAGUAACUGUUUACCAAAAACACAGCUCUAUGCUAAGUCGCAAGACGAUGUAUAUGGGGUGACGCCUGCCCGGUGCCGGAAGGUUAAAAGGAGAGGUUAGGAGCAAUCCGAAGCUUUGAAUUGAAGCCCCGGUGAACGGCGGCCGUAACUAUAACGGUCCUAAGGUAGCGAAAUUCCUUGUC
This 1468-nucleotide ribosomal RNA is filed under the name human metagenome. RNAcentral's name for it is "bacterial LSU rRNA". It matches the Rfam family "Bacterial large subunit ribosomal RNA", at positions 488 to 1973 of the family's 2925-position model. The record is from RNAcentral.